Molecule: ribosomal RNA, 301 nt
Filed under: uncultured bacterium
Lineage: Bacteria
Description: partial 16S ribosomal RNA
Rfam family: Bacterial small subunit ribosomal RNA
Source: RNAcentral
CAGUCGCCACGGGAAAACGUAGGGGGCAAGCGUUGUCCGGAAUCAUUGGGCGUAAAGAGCGUGUAGGCGGCUUGGUAAGUCUGCUGUGAAAGUCCAGGGCUCAACCCUUGAAUGCCGGUGGAAACUGUCAAGCUAGAGUCCGGAAGAGGCGAGUGGAAUUCCUGGUGUAGCGGUGAAAUGCGCAGAUAUCAGGAGGAACACCAAUGGCGAAGGCAGCUCGCUGGGACGGUACUGACGCUGAGACGCGAAAGCGUGGGGAGCAAACAGGAUUAGAUACCCCUGUAGUCCCUGUCUCUUAUAC